CGUAGGGGCAAGCGUUGUCCGGAUUUAUUGGGCGUAAGAGCGUGUAGGCGGCCGGAUAGGUCCGUUGUGAAAACUCGAGGCUCAACCUCGAGACGCCGAUGGAAACCAUCUGGCUAGAGUCCGGAAGAGGAGAGUGGAAUUCCCGGUGUAGCGGUGAAAUGCGCAGAUAUCGGGAAGAACACCCGUGGCUAAGGCGGCUCUCUAGUACGGUACUGACGCUGAGACGCGAAAGCGUGGGGAGCGAACAGGAUUAGAUACCCUGGUAGUCCACGCCGUAAACGAUGGGUGCUAGGUGUGGGAGGUGUCGACUCCUUCCGUGCCGAAGCUAACGCAUUAAGCACCCCGCCUGGGGGAGUACGGCCGCAAGGCUA
RNAcentral lists this ribosomal RNA (371 nucleotides) under uncultured organism. Its description in RNAcentral is "bacterial SSU rRNA". It matches the Rfam family "Bacterial small subunit ribosomal RNA", at positions 526 to 896 of the family's 1533-position model. The record is from RNAcentral.